Molecule: microRNA, 22 nt
Filed under: Gallid alphaherpesvirus 2
Lineage: Duplodnaviria; Heunggongvirae; Peploviricota; Herviviricetes; Herpesvirales; Orthoherpesviridae
Description: mdv1-miR-M9-3p
Gene: mdv1-miR-M9-3p
Source: miRBase by way of RNAcentral
AAACUCCGAGGGCAGGAAAAAG